This 308-nucleotide ribosomal RNA is filed under the name Bochica withi. RNAcentral describes it as "partial large subunit ribosomal RNA". It matches the Rfam family "Eukaryotic large subunit ribosomal RNA", at positions 762 to 1066 of the family's 3401-position model. The record is from RNAcentral. Lineage: Eukaryota; Metazoa; Arthropoda; Arachnida; Pseudoscorpiones; Bochicidae.
CGGCCCGUCUAACGUCGUUCUCGGCGGGGCGGAGCUAGAGCAUACGCUACGGGACCCGAAAGAUGGUGAACUAUGCCUGGGCAGGACGAAGCCAGAGGAAACUCUGGUGGAGGUCCGCAGCGAUUCUGACGUGCAAAUCGAUCGUCAGACCUUGGUAUAGGGGCGAAAGACUAAUCGAACCAUCUAGUAGCUGGUUCCCUCCGAAGUUUCCCUCAGGAUAGCUGGUACUCGGAGGACCGGUCUCAUCCGGUAAAGCGAAUGAUUAGAGGCCUUGGGGCCGAAACGACCUCAACCUAUUCUCAAACUUU